UGUGAUGGCACUCGUCUUAUCCCACCAAGACAAGUCAGCCUAAAACCCAAUAUCUAACAAAGUGCGGAAGUAAAUGACAAACCAACAACAAUUUCUAGUAUGAAACCAAGUCAUAUUAAUUCAAUCCCCAAAACCAGGUUGUCACGUGCACAAGCCUCUAAUGUAAACAUUAGAAUUGAAACAAAAUAGAAGUCUAACAUGAAGUUGUCUUUCAAGUAAAAACAAAGUCAUAAACUGGAGUAGGAAAGUUCGCUGAGAUGACAAGCAGCUACCUCACAAUCCUCCACAAGAUGCCUCGGAAACGAAGAGAAUGAAAAGUAUCACAAAAAUCCGGGCUCGUGACCUACAAAAAUUUGUAGAAGCAAGGGGUGAGUACCAAACCACGCGGUACCCAACAAGAAAACCUCUAAACACAAGUUAAGUGAACAAAAUACGGGCACUUCUUACACCAUAUCUAAACCUCCACGCCACAGUCUAAUAGUUUACAGUUUACCAAACACACAACUCAAUAACCACACUCUAUCAGUUUACACAUUCUCAAUAACAACUCAAUAUUCAACAGUCACCAGCCUCACAGGGAAACACUCACAAGAUCAACAAAACACAUGUUCAAGUUCAUCAAUAAUAAAAUGUGUAAUGCCAUGAGAUGCAAUGUCAAGUAUAGUGAUGCAUGUCUUCCCUAACGAUACACACCCGCUGUCUCUCAGCCCGGGACCCAUGGGGGACAUAUCUGUCCAUGCAUCUGUCGCGGCGCACGACACGACCCUCUAUAAUAGUAACCUUCGCGGCGCGUGAUACGUCCCUCGAAAUAUGAUAUCCAUCGCGGCGCGCGAUACGACCCUCGAAAUGGUACAUCCUCUUACCACAACCAUGUUUCAAGUACAAUGCAAAUUACAUGCUCAAAUGAAAAAUGAGGAGAUAACCAUUUUGAUACCAAAGCUCAAUUUACAACAAGGAAUACAACACCAACAAAUAAGCAACAAGUCUCCAAAUCAUUCUCAACAUCACACAAGAAAAUACACGAAUUUCAUACGCUUAACAAGGGUUUAGAAAUCCACUUGCCUCAAUCACUCUAAUAAUCACUCUGGGACUUGAGCCUUCCCUUUCCGUUGAGCUUCCAAAUCGAUGCAAUCUAUGCAAGUAUAUAUAUUCACAAUAAGGUUUCAGAACUAACAAUACUCACACUUUUGUGUGUUUAAUCUUGACCUAAAAAUUCACCCCAAAUUUAUAAUCAAGUUCGUAAUUCUUGAUGCCAACUAACAUUUUAACUAUUAUAUUUUUCAAGUUCCAAGUCUAAGGUUAAGUCCCAAAUUAUUUUCAAUAGCAUAAUUCCAAUGGUAUUCACAUAAUACCAUACAUCUAAUGCUUAAUAUGUAUCUUAAUAUAUCCAACUUGAAUUUUUAAUGCAUUAACUAAAUUAUGUUUAUUAAAAUAUGAGGCCACUGGUUACGAAACCAGUGGCAGACGAACAAAGGAGGGAAAACGUAUCUUAUAAUGAGAGUAAUACUAUAUAUAAUUAAUAAUUAAAAGAUAUACAACAUGGCCAAUCAUUACCCUCCAACAUACAUAUGCAUUAAAGUUAGUUUCAAACUUCUUCUUUUUUUUUCCAGUAGCCACGUUGAACAUUUUUUUUUAUUUAUUUAUUACAUUCAAUCUGCUUCCAUUCUUUUAUACCAACAUAUAUAUAUAAUUUAUUAUAUACUAACAUGCACACAUCUAUGUGCAGAAAUCAAGAAAAUUUACAGGAGAAGAAACUUACCUAGCAGUUCGUAAGCCGCAGAGAACCCUUCGCCUUUUUUUUUUAAUUUUCUUUUUGAAUCAUUUAAGUACUAAAAGUAAUAGGUUUUACCCACAUAUUUAAUUAAAUAUAGUCUAAAUGGUAUAGGGUCUUAAAUAAAUUAUCACUUUAGCCCAUAAACUAUCGAUUAAUUAACUCAAGUUACUCUAAUAUUUAAAAUUUCCAAAAAUGACCUUCCGGGUCAUUACAUUAUCCACCACUAAAAGUCAUGUUCGUCCUCGAACAUAAAGUAAAAGAAAGUACCUGAUGCUUCAAAAAGUUGAGGAUAUCUGGCACGCAUGUCAGACUCAGUCUCCCAAGUUGCCUCUCCCACUGAUCGGUGCUUCCAUUGGACCUUCACUGAAGCAAUCUCCUUGGUCCUAAGCUUUCGAACCUGCCUAUCCAAAAUAGCUAUAGGCUCCUCCUCAAAUGUCAAGUCUGGACCCAACUCCACGGAGUCAAGUGAAAGCACAUGAGAUUCAUCCGGAAUAUACUUCCGAAGCAUAGAGACAUGGAAAACAGGAUGAACUGCCGACAAACUAGGUGGCAAGGCCAACUUAUAAGCCACCUCUCCCACUCGGCUCAAAAUCUCAAAAGGUCCAAUGAACCUAGGGCUAAGCUUGCCCUUCUUUCCAAACCUCAUCACACCCUUCAUGGGUGAUACUCGGAGCCAAACAUGAUCACCCUCCAUAAACACUAAAGCCCUAACUCUCCGGUCUGCAUAACUCUUCUGUCGACUUUGGGCUGUCAACAGUCUAUACUGAAUCAUACGGACUUGCUCCAUAGCAUCUCUAAGCAAGUCUGUAUCCAAAGAGUCCAUCUCCGCCGAAUCAAACCACCCUAUCGGAGACCUACACCGUCUUCCAUACAAUGCCUCAAAUGGGGCCAUUUGGAUACUAGAGUGAUAACUGUUAUUAUAGGCGAACUCCGCUAAGGGUAAAUGUCGAUCCCAUCUUGCACCAAAAUCGAUCACACACGCUCGAAGCAUAUCUUCCAAUACCUGAAUGGUCCGCUCAGAUUGACCAUCUGUCUGAGGGUGAAAUGCCGUACUCAUAUCUAACUGAGUACCCAGACCAUGUUGUAAUGCCUUCCAGAAGUGAGAAGUAAAUAGUGAACCUCGAUCUGAUAUGAUAGAAACAGGAACUCCAUGUAGUUGCACAAUCUGACUGAUAUAUAGUUCGGCUAACUUUUCUGCUGUAUACUUUACCCGAACCGGGAUGAAGUGGGCAGACUUGGUCAGCCUAUCAACAACAACCCAAAUAGAGUCAUAACCACCCACUGUGGUAGGCAAACCCACAACAAAGUCCAUAGUAAUCCGCUCCCACUUCCAAGUAGGAAUAGGCAUCCUUUGAGAUACACCACCAGGCCGCUGGUGCUCACACUUGACCUGCUGGCAAGUCAAACACCUCAAAACAAAGUCUGUAAUAUCUCUCUUCAUCCCACACCACCAGUAAUGCUGACUUAGAUCAUGAUACAUUUUCGCCGCUCCCGGAUGGAUAGAAUAUCGAGAACAAUGGGCCUCCUCAAGGAUCAAUCUAAUCAAAUCGCCUGUCUUGGGCACACAAAUCCUGCCUCCGAUCCUCAAGACACCAUCAGAAUCAAGGACAGCCUCCUUAGCUUCCCCUCUCAAUACUUUGUCUCGAAUGAGACAUAAUUUUUCAUCAUCAAACUGGUGUGCACGAAUCUGCUCGACUAAAGAAGAUCGAGCCUCAAUAAAAGCAAUCAUCCCAUCACUCUCCUCUGAGAUCUGUAAUCGGACAAGACUGUUAGCUAAUAUCUGCACAUCUCUAGCCAAUGGUCUCUCCUCAAUACUAAGCGCUGCAAGACUCCCCAUGCUAGGAGUCUUCCUACUCAGAGCAUCGGCCACAACAUUGGCCUUCCCUGGAUGAUACAGAAUGGUCACAUCAUAGUCCUUCAGCAACUCAAGCCAUCUUCGUUGCCUCAAGUUCAAAUCCCUCUGGCUAAAGAUAUACUGAAGACUCCGAUGAUCAGUGAAGAUCUCACAAUGCACUCCAUACAAAUAAUGACGCCAUAACUUAAGUACAAAUACCACGGCCGCCAACUCUAGAUCAUGAGUAGGGUAGUUCUUCUCAUGGGAUUUCAACUGCCUAGAAGCAUAAGCAAUCACUUUCCCCUUCUGCAUCAACACACCACCCAAACCAACUCCUGAAGCAUCACAAUACACAGUAAAGUCUACACCUUCCUCAGGUAGAGUCAACACAGGAGCAGAAGUCAACAAAGUCUUGAGCUUUUGAAAGCUCUCCUCACACUCAUCAGACCACUGGAAACCCACAUCCUGUCGAGUCAAUCUAGUCAAUGGGGCUGCAAUAGUAGAGAAACUCUGAACAAAUCGUCGAUAAUAGCCUGCCAAUCCCACAAAACUCCUAAUCUCAGUAGGUGAAGUAAGUCGCGUCCAGCCUCUAACUGCCUCAAUUUUGGCCGGAUCUACUCUAAUACCCUCCUUGGACACCACGUGCCCCAAGAAUGUCACAGAAGUAAGCCAGAACUCACACUUUGAGAACUUGGCAUACAACUUCUCUUCUCUCAACCUCUGAAGUACAAUCCUCAGGUGUCGGACAUGGUCCUCCUCAGUCUUAGAGUAAACCAAGAUGUCAUCGAUGAAAACAAUCACAAAAGAAUCAAGGUAUGGUCGAAACACCCCAUUCAUCAACUCCAUGAAUGCUGCAGGAGCAUUAGUCAAUCCGAAAGACAUCACUAGAAACUCAUAAUGCCCAUACCGGGUCCGAAAAGCUGUCUUAGGGAUAUCUGACGCCCUAAUCUUCAACUGAUGAUACCCAGACCUCAAAUCAAUCUUAGAGAACAAUGAUGCUCCCUGUAACUGAUCAAAUAAGUCAUCAAUACGCGGAAGAGGAUACUUAUUCUUAACUGUUACCUUGUUCAACUGUCUGUAAUCAAUACACAUUCUCAUAGUCCCAUCCUUCUUCUUCACAAACAAUACAGGGGCACCCCAAGGUGAUACACUAGGGCGAAUAAAACCCUUACUCAAUAAAUCUUGCAACUGAUCCUUCAAUUCUUUCAACUCUGCUGGGGCCAUACGAUAUGGAGGUAUAGAAAUAGGCUUAGUGCCUGGCUCCAAAUCAAUAGCAAAAUCGAUAUCCCUGUCGGGAGGAACACCUGGAAGAUCAGAAGGAAAUACAUCGAGAAACUCCUGAACCACGGGAACAGAGUCCAUGGAAGGUGGUUCAACACUAGUAUCCCGAAUAAAAGCUAAGUAAGACAAACACCCCCUCUCCACCAAUCUCUGAGCACGGAUAAAAGAGAUGACCUUUCUAGGAUAAGAACCACUAACACUCUUCCACUCAACCCUCAGAACACCAGGCAUUGCUAAAGUCACAGUCUUAGCAUUACAAUCAAGGACAGCAUGAUAAGGAGAAAGCCAAUCCAUACCCAAGAUAACAUCAAAGUCCACCAUCCCCAGAAUGAUUAAGUCUACCCAAGUGUCAUAUCCAGCCAAAGAAACAAGACAGGAUCGAUACACUCGAUCCACCACUAAGGGCUUACCCACGGGUGUAGAAACACGAAUAGGUACAGUCAUGCUAUCACAUAUCAUAUCAAAUUUAGCAGCAAAAUACGUAGACACAUAAGAGAAUGUAGAACCUGGAUCAAACAACACAGACGCAGGUUGAUGGCAUACUGGGAUGAUACCUGUAAUAACUGCAUCAGAGGUCUCCGCCUCAGGUCUCCCGGGGAAAGCAUAGCAGUGGGCUCCUCGUCCACCUCCAGCCUGGGUGGUACCUCUACCCCCACUCUGCUGAGCUGCAACACCACUACUAGAAACUUUAUCACCUCUACCUGACUGAACUCUGCCACGACCUCUACCCUGUGGAGCUGGUGGUCUAGUCUGGAAUGAAGAAUUAGGUCGAGGGCCACCACGACCCCUUUGAGAAGUACACUGCCGCAUUAGAUGAUCGGGAUCUCCACAAGUAAAACAAAAUCUCUGACCUGGGAACUGUUGUGUGGACCCUGAAAAUCCACUAUAAUUUCCUCGCCCUGUAGGUCGCUGCUGUGAAUCGUACGAGCUCUGACCCGAGCUAUAAGAACCCCUAGAUGUCUGGCCACCCUCAAAUGUCGGCAUAGAUGCAUGAAUAGGUCCCCGCUGCUGAAAAGAACCACUCACUCUCUGUGAUCCCCUACCUCCAGAUGAGGCACCAUGAAACUGUCCUGAUAUACGGGCUCUUUUAGGGUCCCCAAACUCCUCUCUCUCCAUCAAUUCCGCCUCUUUGGCGGCGCUCACAAUGAACUGGAAAGAAGUCCCCUCCCUAGAUGUCCGAAACACAGCUGACCUGAUAGAGAAAGUCAAUCCCCUCACGAAUCUGCGGAUCCUCUCUGUCUCAUUUGGAAUAAUGGCCAACGCAUGCCUAGACAACUGGCAAAAAUGCGCCUCAUACUCUGUAACCGAUAAACCAUCCUGUCUCAGACUCUCAAACCUCAAGCGACUCUCCCCUCUCACGCUCCAUGAGAUAAAACGAUCUUGGAAUGCGCUAGCAAACUGCUCCCAAGUCACUGGAGGAGAUCCAACUGGCAAACAUCCCGAAUAAGUCCUCCACCAGUCUCUCGCUGGUCCACGAAGCUGGAGUGUAGCAUAUCUAACCCCAUGUGACUCAGCUAAUCCAACCACCUCUAGUAACUCUCGGCAGGUAGUUAGAAACUCAUGAGCGUCCUCGCUCUUCCCACCCUGAAACUGAGGUGGGUCCAUCUUUCGAAAUCUCUCAUACCUAUGCUGAUCAUCCUCUGUCAGAACAACCAUCGAUGCAACUUGACCCCCAACUGCUGGUGCAAUAUCAUUCUGAACCGCGGGAUCUACUGGUAGUUGCCCCACCGCAUCCUGAACAACCGGAGCUUGUUGCUGCUCUUGGGUCUGAGCCCCCUCUCUAGUACGAGAGUCAUGUGGUGUGGUAGUUGCACCACCACCCUGAGAAAAGCCCUCUAACACACUUAACACCCUCAAUAGCGUAUCCUGAAGCAAAGGUGUGACUACGGGAUCUGGAGGAACCUGGUCCUCUCUGUCAUCAAUCUGAGGUUCGGUAGAGACCUCUCUAGCACGACCUCUCACUGGUGCUGCUCCACGUCCACGACCUCUGGCUACUGUCGCACUACUAGCACGACCUCUAGCUCGAGAUCUACCCCUACCUCUAGCUGGGGCCUCAACAACUGCCUCGGGAAGUGCCUCCCCUCUACCACCAGUAAUAUUAGUUCUAGUUCUCAUCAUCUGUCAAAAGAGUAUACAACAACUCAGUACUAAAGAAGGUGACUACGCACGAUGAGAAAGAAUGAACAAAAAGAAGUUUUCCUAGUAAUUCUUGUAGCCUCUCAAAGAUAAGUACAGACGUCUCCGUACUGAUCCUUGAGACUUUACGUAGACUCGGCUUGUAUACACGUGAGACCUAUGAACCUGGGCUCUGAUACCAUUUUGUCACGACCCAAAAAUGGGUGUGAUGGCACUCGUCUUAUCCCACCAAGACAAGUCAGCCUAAAACCCAAUAUCUAACAAAGUGCGGAAGUAAAUGACAAACCAACAACAAUUUCUAGUAUGAAACCAAGUCAUAUUAAUUCAAUCCCCAAAACCAGGUUGUCACGUGCACAAGCCUCUAAUGUAAACAUUAGAAUUGAAACAAAAUAGAAGUCUAACAUGAAGUUGU
RNAcentral lists this long non-coding RNA (7437 nucleotides) under Solanum lycopersicum (tomato). RNAcentral's name for it is "long non-coding RNA (SLYC_LNC001054)". The record is from RNAcentral. Lineage: Eukaryota; Viridiplantae; Streptophyta; Magnoliopsida; Solanales; Solanaceae.